Non-coding RNA from Dermacentor albipictus, 4062 nucleotides. Lineage: Eukaryota; Metazoa; Arthropoda; Arachnida; Ixodida; Ixodidae. The record is from RefSeq and is a predicted model, not a curated record.
CGGCACUUUACGUCAACACUCAGUACUGUAGCGACGUCAAUGGCCGCACUUCUUUCAAACAUUCUAUGCAAACAACUUCGAGCACUUCACGGCAUUUAUUAAGGUCCUAAGGAGCGACUCCGAAACCCCCUUAAGAGGUAGGGGGCCGCCGCGAGCCGUUCCGACGUUGGGACGGGCAGGCCGUGCCUGACCGCCUCCUCCCACUCUUCUUCCGUGGUGAGAUGACCGUGGUCCCGUAACGAGGGACACCGCCAGAGCAUGUGUUCUAAAGUGCAGAAUGGAUCUCCGCAAUCCGGACACCUGCCCCGCACGGACGCGGCGUUAGGUUGCCCUAGCUGUGAUCCACCACGGCCGCCGCAAACCGGUCGGACGAACCGUAAUGGGCGACGUCGACGAACGCGACCGAUCGUAGAUCGUCGGCGACGGAUCCGAGGAGUGCGGCCGCUCGGGCCCGGCGUGUGCCUACAUUGCGUUGCGCGUGCACGUUGCGCGGGAACGGCGAGACCGUGACGGCCUCCCGCGACCACGCGUCGAGCACGCACCGCAUUUCCCUGACGGGUUAAAGUCCAGCGCCUCCAGGAUCCGCCUCCCCGCAGGAGCUCGAGGAAGCGAGCCUGACAACCUGGACUAACUUCUGUGACCCAAGCUCAUCGAAGGUGUUGUGGACCCCCAGCUGCAUGAGCUUCUCGGUGCUGGCGCCUAUGGGGAUGCCAAGCACUUCACGGACCGUGGUAUUUUAUUCCAGUACUGUCCACAACACCACGUGAAUUUCACGAUGUCAGCAACUUCCGUGCAGUAAUGGAAUACAUUGAUUGCACACAUACGGAUCGAACGACCGCAAUGGGUACUUGUCCAUGAAUGUGCAAUCUUUUGCGUAUGCACUGUAACACCUAUGAUGAUUAUAAUAAAGAAAGAAAGUUCACUCUAAUGGAAGGGGAACGGUAAAAACACAUUAAAAAAGGCACGGCACAUGUUUCUGCUUGUGUAGCACCAGACAAUGAAUAUUCUACUGAAUUAAGAAAAAGAAGCAGCGGGUAAUUGCUCGCUUAGAAGACCGAUAAACAUGCAGUUCGAUGAAAUUUGAGAAAUAAUGAUAUUGAAGCUUCCAAGACUUUAGAAGAAAAGAAAAAGAAAAUUAAGACUGAAUCAUCGCGACGGAACAUAUCUCAAGUCGCUGUAGGAGUCGAAGACCCUAGCUAUAACGAAAUUAUUUUUGAACAGCUCCGAUAGUGUCCAUGCAACAAUGGUUGCUUGCGUACUGUCAAAUGUUCAUAUGCUGCGGCAUAAAGCUCACGGUACGGUGCGAAAACGUGCUCGGAGCGAAAGCGAUCGACAUGCAUGCAGACGCGAAGUCGGUCACCGCGAACCCGUGCGAUCGCUGCAUUGCAGCUUCAUUCUGUUAUGCUAUAUUUAGUUACACAGACAGCCAUCCCACUAUAAGAACAUAUUUCACAUAGUUUUCUCAGCGAUUGCUUACGUUUCACGCAAACCGGUUCGGUGGAAUCGAUUGCGGCGACCGCUUGCAGUGUCCCAGCUUACUGUACGUAGUAGGCAAAGAGAUAGCGUUUGUAAACAAUUCUGUGCUUUCUGUUUGUCCAACAUGAUUAUUUUAAAGGUAAAAUACUGCCAUUUCGAGAGUAGUUGCAACAUUGUUCAGGAGGGCUGCCGCGUAGUAUGUUUAUUUAGCCUUUAUUUAACGCCGACGCAUGUGAGGCGCCUCCAACAGAUGGCGACUCCGUAAAUCGUCCUCGCCAUAGAGUUUGCUACAAGAAUUUUGUAGGAAACUCUAUGGUCCUCGCCCCCAAUACCGACAUCUUUAUAGUGACGGCCCCGUCGGUGUAGUGUUGUUGUUAAAGCGACGGGCCCCGUCACCGUAGUGUGGAUGUUAAAGUACCGGGCCCCGUCACUGUAGUCACUGCCAAACUUUUAACUUUGGUGCAUCUUGACGCAUUUUCUAUUUCACACAGACACUAGACGAGUUGCAAAACAAAAUUCGUUGCAGCGCCAUCUGUACUUGCGUACAGGAAGCAGCCAGCGGCCGCCAUUGUGCAUGAAUAGUCGUGUGCGUUUCGCCCGUUCAGUACACGCGUGAUACCGGCUUGGCGUACUGAAUCGACGCUUGUGGCGAACUCAUCCCUUUUCGUGCUGUUGUUGGGCGACUGUGACCUGGAGUCAUGCCAGUUAACUGCUGUGUGCCACUGUGCACGCAGUUUGGUGGCUUUGACAAGUCUGGACAGAAGGUGUCAUACCACAGAUUCCCAAGAGACCAGGACAUAUACAAAAAGUGGAUUGCAGCCAUCAGGCGAGAUGAAGGCCCACUCUUCACAGUUUCGAAGGCCACCAGGGUCUGCUCUCUCCACUUUCUUAAGAGUGACUUUGUUGCUAAUGUUGCUAAUGGUUACCGACACUUACACCAGUCUGCUGUGCCAUCCAUAUUUUUAUUCAAGCAGCCAAAGCCAUCGAGGAAACCACCAGCUCAACGGGCACCACUUCAGAAAGUUGCAUUAUCAAAAAGGAAGUGUAACGGUAAUAUUCAAGGGCUUUUCACUACAGGACAAAAGGUAGACACCUGUAUCGAUAACCGAGCAGAUGACAAGGAAAACUCAGCAGAUGGAUGCAACAAAAAUACAUUCAGUGAAGGCACUGACGUCUUCAAUGUUGAAGAUACGGGCUCCACUUUGCUUCCUGACAAACCGCAACAGUCACCAGAAGAACCAGCCUCUGGAAGUAUUUGUGCAUGCAGAGAAAAUAUUUCUGCCCUAGAGCAGGAGCUGGCUGCAAGCAAAGCAAGCGGAGCAGAUACAGAAGCUGAAAAUCAUCACCUGAAGCUGCAAGUAAGCUCUUUAAGAAAAACUAUUGCUGACCUAGAAAAUAAACUCGCUGCAAGCAAAGCAACCGAAGCAGAAAAUCAGCGCCUGAAGCUGCAAAUAAAGGCACAAAAUAAUGAAUUAAAGCUGCUUCGCACAGAGCUUGUCACUGCACAGAAAAAUAUUGAGAAGCUGGAAGAAUUGCCUCCAUUUGGAAUUCAAAGAUUCAAGGACAACAAUGAUGACAUUGAGUUUUACACUGGACUGCCCAGCUAUAAGCACUUCUGUGCUCUCAUGAAUCUCCUUGAUUUUGGGGAAAAUGGAGAAAACAUUGCACGCAAGCGUACGAGGAGCGGGCUACGAAAUGUUGAGUAUAGUGGUCGGCGACACAAGAUUGGUAUGGAGAACCAGCUCUUUCUUGUGCUUGUUAAACUUCGAGUUGGCUUAUUUCACAGACACAUCGGCCACUUGUUCAACGUAUCCAUCAGCACAGUGUCAAGAAUUUUUUCCGCAGUGCUUGACUAUAUUUAUUUGCAGGUAACAGAAAUGACAACAUGGAUAUCACGACAAGCUAUUGAUGCUGCCAUGCCAUCUGCUUUCAAGGAAAAAUAUCCAUCAACGCGUGUCAUCUUGGAUGCCACUGAGAUUAGAUGUGAUGUGCCAACAUCUUUCGUCACGCAAUCACAAGUCUAUUCCUCGUACAAGUCUACCCAUACGUUCAAAGCACUCGUAGGCAUAUCCCCUCAUGGAGUACUGACUUUUGUUUCCGAACUAUUUACUGGGUGUACGUCUGACAGAGAGUGUGUGGAGAAGAGUGGAUUUUUAGACCUGAAGUUUGACACAGGUGACUCAGUCAUGGCUGACAAGGGAUUUAAAAUAAAAGACCUGCUACAAAGCAAGAAAGUUAUGCUGAACAUUCCACCCUUCCUCAUGCAUGGGCAAUUUACUCCCGCCGAAGUGGAGGAGACUCAAGAAAUUGCAGCUAUCAGGAUACAUGUGGAGAGGAAGAUCAAGAAAAUCAAGGGAUAUCACAUUUUUGACCGGUCGAUUCCAAUCUCCCUUGUACCCUUAGCGAAUCAGAUGUGGGCCGUGUGUGCCUUCCUUACAAACUUCCAGCCAUCACUUCUAAAAGAAGACACAAACUGAUCGAAUCCAUAGUGUUCCUUAAAGACACUCAUUUGCUAGUCAUAUGUCAAUCCUCACUGCCUCGUGGUGCUGCCCUCCUCUUGUGUGCAAUAAAAUGUUUGCAGCCUUA